Molecule: long non-coding RNA, 573 nt
Organism: Cebus imitator (Panamanian white-faced capuchin)
Lineage: Eukaryota; Metazoa; Chordata; Mammalia; Primates; Cebidae
Exons: 2
Source: RefSeq, a predicted model, not a curated record
GCUUACCGGCAGCUGUUCUCCCCAUCUGUGUGCAGUGACGUCUCGGCCCGUCGAAGACCCAGGCGGGCAAAGGAGUGGUACAAGCCAGGUUUGGGCACCACAGGAUAAGAUGACCUGCAGGUCUGGCCUCGGAUUUCUGCAGAGGUGUGUUGGAAAGGCAUCAUCGAGGAGGCCGGCAGACUAUAAACGUCUCACCUGGAAGCGAUGGAAGUCCUGUGGCUUGAAGUCGUUGGGGGAGCAGCCGCACCAGUCCACGAUGUGCUUGUACUGGCACUUGCAGCCCAGCUUGCGAUUCCAGUUGGUGAUGCGCAGGUUGUUGUCCACCAUGGUGUCGCAGUGGGGGCUGUUCUCCAGGACCGUGUGGAAGAAGGACUGCAGGGAAGAGGAGCCCAGUCUGAGACCUCUCCCAGCCUCCCACAAGUGAACUGGCAUGGGCAAUGGCGAACGCUUGCUCUGAGUUCACAUGGGAGCUGCUUGUUUAAAAGAAUGUGGCACCUCACCAGGAAGCUGGGCAGCUUCCUGGACAGCUUGCAGCACCAUGAAUCCAAUUAAACCUCUUUUCUUUAAAAAUUA